This 230-nucleotide unclassified non-coding RNA is filed under the name plant metagenome. RNAcentral describes it as "partial contains small subunit ribosomal RNA, internal transcribed spacer 1, and 5.8S ribosomal RNA". The record is from RNAcentral.
UCUCCGUAGGUGAACCUGCGGAGGGAUCAUUACAGAGUUCAUGCCCUACCGGGUAGAUCUCCCACCCUAUGUUAUUAUUACUUUGUUGCUUUGGCGGGCCGUUAGGCUCCGGCCCGACUACCGGCCCCGGCUGGUAAGCGCCCGCCAGAGAAUACCAAAACUCUUUUUAUUAAUGUCGUCUGAGUACUAUAUAAUAGUUAAAACUUUCAACAACGGAUCUCUUGGUUCUG